Molecule: RNase P RNA, 392 nt
Filed under: Rhodovulum sp. 12E13
Lineage: Bacteria; Pseudomonadati; Pseudomonadota; Alphaproteobacteria; Rhodobacterales; Paracoccaceae
Description: Bacterial RNase P class A
Rfam family: Bacterial RNase P class A
About the family: Ribonuclease P (RNase P) is a ubiquitous endoribonuclease, found in archaea, bacteria and eukarya as well as chloroplasts and mitochondria. Its best characterised activity is the generation of mature 5'-ends of tRNAs by cleaving the 5'-leader elements of precursor-tRNAs. Cellular RNase Ps are ribonucleoproteins.
Source: Rfam by way of RNAcentral
GCGGAUGGCCGGGCGGCCGCGGGCCUUUGGCUCGAGGAAAGUCCGGACUCCACGGAGCGACGGUGCCGGGUAACGCCCGGGCGGCGAGAGCCGACGGAAAGCGCCACAGAGAACAGUCUGCCCGCCUCAGGGCGGGUGAGGGUGAAACGGUGGGGUAAGAGCCCACCGCGGCCCCGGCGACGGGGACGGCACGGCAAGCCCCACCGGGAGCAAUGCCGAAUAGGAUCUCCGCGGGGCGUGCAAGCGCCCCGGGGCCGCUCCGGCCCCGAGAGAUCGGGUUGGCAGCUUGAGCCCGCCGGCAACGGCGGGCCGAGAGGAAUGGUCGCCCAGGGCCUUUGUCCGCUCGCGGUCGGGGGCCUGGACAGAAUCCGGCUUACAGGCCGUCCGCGCAU